RNAcentral lists this ribosomal RNA (433 nucleotides) under uncultured bacterium. RNAcentral describes it as "partial 16S ribosomal RNA". It matches the Rfam family "Bacterial small subunit ribosomal RNA", at positions 29 to 507 of the family's 1533-position model. The record is from RNAcentral.
AACGAACGCUGGCGGCAUGCCUAACACAUGCAAGUCGAACGAGACCUUCGGGUCUAGUGGCGCACGGGUUCGUAACGCGUGGGAAUCUGCCCUUGGGUUCGGAAUAACAGUUGGAAACGACUGCUAAUACCGGAUGAUGACUUAAGUCCAAAGAUUUAUCGCCCAGGGAUGAGCCCGCGUAGGAUUAGCUAGUUGGUGGGGUAAAGGCCUACCAAGGCGACGAUCCUUAGCUGGUCUGAGAGGAUGAUCAGCCACACUGGGACUGAGACACGGCCCAGACUCCUACGGGAGGCAGCAGUGGGGAAUAUUGGACAAUGGGCGAAAGCCUGAUCCAGCAAUGCCGCGUGAGUGAUGAAGGCCUUAGGGUUGUAAAGCUCUUUUACCCGGGAUGAUAAUGACAGUACCGGGAGAAUAAGCCCCGGCUAACUCCGUG